Long non-coding RNA from Cyprinus carpio (common carp), 1152 nucleotides. The record is from Ensembl. NCBI's taxonomy places the organism in Eukaryota, Metazoa, Chordata, Actinopteri, Cypriniformes, Cyprinidae.
AUGACAACAGAGCUUAAUGAAACAGAAUGUACAACAGAAAUUGAGAUACUGAUACCAGAAGAUAAAACACUUGUGGAGAGAACAGUUACCACACAUGAAGAAAGACAGUCAGAGCCUGUUGAUUUAAUUUCACAACAUCUAGAAACAGAAGGAAAAAAUGAACCAGUGACACCAAACACAUCCAAAAAAUAUGCUGAAGAUUUACAGGAGACUGGUCAAGAGAGAAAAAUGACAACAGAUCUUCCUGAAACGGCAUGUACAACAGAAAUCAACUUAUCAACAGCAGAAGAACGAACUUCACUGGAGAAAGCAACUGCAACAUAUGAAGAAAGACAGUCAAAGCCUGAUGAUUUCAUUUCAGAAAAUACUGAAUCAAAAGUAACAAAUGAACAAGUGACAUCAAACAUAUCCACAAAAUAUGCAGAAGAUUUCAUUUCAACCAGACAAGAGACAUCAAUGACAACAGAGGCUCUUGAAACUGCAUGUACGACAGGAAUUGAGUUACAAACACCAGAAGAUAAGAGACCUAUGAUGACAACAGCUACCACAUAUGAAGAAAGACACUCAGUACCUGUUGAUUUCAUUUCAGAAAAUAUUGAGUCAAAAGGUACAAAUGAACCACUGACACCAACCAUAUCCACAAAAUCUGCAGAAGGUUUCACAAAGAACAGAGAAGAGACAUUGAUGACAACAGAGGCUCUUGAAACUGAAUGUACAACAGAAAUUGAAUUACAAACACCAGAAGAUAAAACACCUGUCAUGACAACAGCUACCACAUAUGAAAAAAGACAUUCAGAACCUGAUGAUUUCAUUUCAGAAAACACUGAGUCAAAUGAACCGGUAACAACAACCAUAUCCACAAAAUAUGCAGAAGUUUUCAUUUCAACCAGACAAGAGACAUUAAAAACAACAGAAGCUAUUGAAACUGAAUGCACAACAGAAAUUGAGUUACAAACACCAGAAGAUAAGAGACCUAUGAUGACAACAGCUACCACAUAUGAAGAAAGACACUCAAAAUCUGUUGAUAUAAUUUCAGAAAAUAUUGAGUCAAAAGGUACAAAUGAACCACUGACACCAACCAUAUCCAAAAAAUCUGCAGAAGACUUCACAAAGAGCAGAGAAGAGACAUUGAUGACAACAGAGGCUCUUUAA